Molecule: ribosomal RNA, 508 nt
Filed under: uncultured bacterium
Lineage: Bacteria
Description: partial 16S ribosomal RNA
Rfam family: Bacterial small subunit ribosomal RNA
Source: RNAcentral
GAUGAACGCUAGCUACAGGCUUAACACAAGCAAGUCGAGGGGAAACGAUAUUGGAAGCUUGCUUCCGAUAGGCGUCGACCGGCGCACGGGUGAGUAACGCGUAUCCAACCUGCCCAUCACUUGGGGAUAACCUUGCGAAAGUAAGACUAAUACCCAAUGACGUCUCUAGAAGACAUCUGAAAGAGAUUAAAGUUUUAUCGGUGAUGGAUGGGGAUGCGUCUGAUUAGCUUGUUGGCGGGGUAACGGCCCACCAAGGCGACGAUCGGUAGGGGUUCUGAGAGGAAGGUCCCCCACAUUGGAACUGAGACACGGUCCAAACUCCUACGGGAGGCAGCAGUGAGGAAUAUUGGUCAAUGGGCGAGAGCCUGAACCAGCCAAGUAGCGUGCAGGAUGACGGCCCUAUGGGUUGUAAACUGCUUUUAUAAGGGAAUAAAGUGGGAGUCGUGACUCCUUUUGCAUGUACCUUAUGAAUAAGGACCGGCUAAUUCCGUGCCAGCCGCCGCUGUAA